UACGGAGGGGACUAGCGUUGUUCGGAAUUACUGGGCGUAAAGCGCACGUAGGCGGAUUUGUAAGUCAGGGGUGAAAUCCCGGGGCUCAACCUCGGAACUGCCUUUGAUACUGCAAAUCUCGAGUCCGGAAGAGGUGAGUGGAAUUCCUAGUGUAGAGGUGAAAUUCGUAGAUAUUAGGAAAGAACACCAGUGGCGAAGGCGGCUCACUGGUCCGGUACUGACGCUGAGGUGCGAAAGCGUGGGGGAGCAAACA
RNAcentral lists this ribosomal RNA (253 nucleotides) under uncultured bacterium. Its description in RNAcentral is "partial 16S ribosomal RNA". It matches the Rfam family "Bacterial small subunit ribosomal RNA", at positions 524 to 774 of the family's 1533-position model. The record is from RNAcentral.